UACGAAGGGACCUAGCGUUGUUCGGAAUCACUGGGCGUAAAGCGCAAGUAGGUGGUUUGGUAAGUUAGAUGUGAAAUCCUUGGUCUUAAGCUAAGAACUGCAUUUAAUACUGUCAAACUAGAGUACAAGAGGGGAUACUAGAAUUUCAAGUGUAGGAGUAAAAUCCGUAGAUAUUUGGAGGAAUACCAGAAGCGAAGGCGUGUAUCUGGCUUGUAACUGACACUGAAUUGCGAAAGCGUGGGGAGCAAACAGG
RNAcentral lists this ribosomal RNA (253 nucleotides) under uncultured bacterium. RNAcentral's name for it is "partial 16S ribosomal RNA". It matches the Rfam family "Bacterial small subunit ribosomal RNA", at positions 524 to 776 of the family's 1533-position model. The record is from RNAcentral.